Molecule: ribosomal RNA, 326 nt
Filed under: uncultured eukaryote
Lineage: Eukaryota
Description: partial 18S ribosomal RNA
Rfam family: Eukaryotic small subunit ribosomal RNA
Source: RNAcentral
CCCUUAGAUGUUCUGGGCCGCACGCGCGCUACACUGAUGCAUUCAACGAGCCCAACCUUGACCGAGAGGUCCGGGUAAUCUUUGAAACUGCAUCGUGAUGGGGCUAGAUUAUUGCAAUUAUUAAUCUUCAACGAGGAAUGCCUAGUAAGCGUGAUUCAUCAAAUCGCGUUGAUUACGUCCCUGCCCUUUGUACACACCGCCCGUCGCUCCUACCGAUUGAGUGUGUUGGUGAGGAGUUUGGAUUGGCCUCGGAAGGUGGUUCGCCACCGUCCGUAGCUGAGAAGUUCUCCAAACCGCCCCACUUAGAGGAAGGAGAAGUCGUAACA